This is a non-coding RNA of Oryza glumipatula, 204 nucleotides long. The record is from Rfam. Lineage: Eukaryota; Viridiplantae; Streptophyta; Magnoliopsida; Poales; Poaceae.
UUUAAGUGCAACCAAAAGUUGCUGCGCCCAACUUUGAUCGUCCGUCUUAUUUGAAAAUUUUUUAUAAUUAGUAUUUUUGUUGUUAUGAGAUGAUAAAAUAUAAAUAGUACUUUACUCGUGACUUAUUUUUAAAUUUUUUAUAAAAAAUUUUCAAAUAAGACGGACGGUCAAAGUUAGACGCGAAAAACCAUGGUUGCACUUAAA